Molecule: ribosomal RNA, 96 nt
Filed under: uncultured bacterium
Lineage: Bacteria
Description: partial 16S ribosomal RNA
Rfam family: Bacterial small subunit ribosomal RNA
Source: RNAcentral
CACCGCCCGUCACAUCACGAAAAGUGGGUGGUACUAGAAGUCGGUGCGCUAACCGCAAGGAGGCAGCCGCCCAAGGUAUCAUUCAUGAUUGGGGUG